RNAcentral lists this ribosomal RNA (118 nucleotides) under Pteropus alecto (black flying fox). Lineage: Eukaryota; Metazoa; Chordata; Mammalia; Chiroptera; Pteropodidae. The record is from RNAcentral.
AUCUAUGGCCAUGCCACCCUGAACAAGCCCGAUCCUGUCUAAUCUCAGAAGCUAAGCAGUGUUGGGCCUGGUUAGUACUUAAUGGGAGACCACCUAGGAAGUCCAGGUGCUGUAGGCA